This 218-nucleotide long non-coding RNA is filed under the name Mytilus galloprovincialis (Mediterranean mussel). Lineage: Eukaryota; Metazoa; Mollusca; Bivalvia; Mytilida; Mytilidae. The record is from RNAcentral.
CGGGUGCGAGUGCUGCCUUGUAGCGGCAUUAGCCUGCUCUUUUUCGAAAUCUACAAGGGUGUCUUUAACGUGCAAGAGAUAUGGCUCUCUCUUAACACGGGUCAGCCAUUAUUGUCCCCUUCCGACGGACUAUCAUCGUUUCCUCGAGACCAUACUCGCAAAUGGUGUCAAGGGAGAGCCGAAAAUUCAGUUCCUGAAAUUUUCAUCCCAGACGGGAA